GACGAACGCUGGCGGCGUGCUUAACACAUGCAAGUCGAACGGUAAGGCCCUUCGGGGUACACGAGUGGCGAACGGGUGAGUAACACGUGGGUGAUCUGCCCUGCACUUCGGGAUAAGCCUGGGAAACUGGGUCUAAUACCGGAUAGGACCACUGCCUGCAUGGGUGGUGGUGGAAAGCUUUUGCGGUGUGGGAUGGGCCCGGGGCCUAUCAGCUUGUUGGUGGGGUGAUGGCCUACCAAGGCGACGACGGGUAGCCGGCCUGAGAGGGUGGCCGGACAAACUGGGACUGAGAUACGGCCCAGACUCCUACGGGAGGCAGCAGUGGGGAAUAUUGCACAAUGGGCGCAAGCCUGAUGCAGCGACGCCGCGUGAGGGAUGACGGCCUUCGGGUUGUAAACCUCUUUCAGCACCGACGAAGCGCAAGUGACGGUAGGUGCAGAAGAAGGACCGGCCAACUACGUGCCAGCCGCCGCGGUAA
This 478-nucleotide ribosomal RNA is filed under the name uncultured bacterium. Its description in RNAcentral is "partial 16S ribosomal RNA". It matches the Rfam family "Bacterial small subunit ribosomal RNA", at positions 28 to 523 of the family's 1533-position model. The record is from RNAcentral.